CGGGCGUUAAGUUGCAGGGUAUAGACCCGAAACCCGGUGAUCUAGCCAUGGGCAGGUUGAAGGUUGGGUAACACUAACUGGAGGACCGAACCGACUAAUGUUGAAAAAUUAGCGGAUGACCUGUGGCUGGGGGUGAAAGGCCAAUCAAACCGGGAGAUAGCUGGUUCUCCCCGAAAGCUAUUUAGGUAGCGCCUCGUGAAUUCAUCUCCGGGGGUAGAGCACUGUUUCGGCUAGGGGGCCAUCCCGGCUUACCAACCCGAUGCAAACUGCGAAUACCGGAGAAUGUUAUCACGGGAGACACACGGCGGGUGCUAACGUCCGUCGUGAAGAGGGAAACAACCCAGACCGCCAGCUAAGGUCCCAAAGUCAUGGUUAAGUGGGAAACGAUGUGGGAAGGCCCAGACAGCCAGGAUGUUGGCUUAGAAGCAGCCAUCAUUUAAAGAAAGCGUAAUAGCUCACUGGUCGAGUCGGCCUGCGCGGAAGAUGUAACGGGGCUAAACCAUGCACCGAAGCUGCGGCAGCGACACUGUGUGUUGUUGGGUA
This 543-nucleotide ribosomal RNA is filed under the name Salmonella enterica. RNAcentral's name for it is "partial 23S ribosomal RNA". It matches the Rfam family "Bacterial large subunit ribosomal RNA", at positions 689 to 1230 of the family's 2925-position model. RNAcentral also lists the same sequence under 2 other names. Lineage: Bacteria; Pseudomonadati; Pseudomonadota; Gammaproteobacteria; Enterobacterales; Enterobacteriaceae. The record is from RNAcentral.